AUUGAACGCUGGCGGCAGGCCUAACACAUGCAAGUCGAGCGGUAGAGAGAAGCUUGCUUCUCUUGAGAGCGGCGGACGGGUGAGUAAUGCCUAGGAAUCUGCCUGGUAGUGGGGGAUAACGUUCGGAAACGGACGCUAAUACCGCAUACGUCCUUCGGGAGAAAGCAGGGGACCUUCGGGCCUUGCGCUAUCAGAUGAGCCUAGGUCGGAUUAGCUAGUUGGUGAGGUAAUGGCUCACCAAGGCGACGAUCCGUAACUGGUCUGAGAGGAUGAUCAGUCACACUGGAACUGAGACACGGUCCAGACUCCUACGGGAGGCAGCAGUGGGGAAUAUUGGACAAUGGGCGAAAGCCUGAUCCAGCCAUGCCGCGUGUGUGAAGAAGGUCUUCGGAUUGUAAAGCACUUUAAGUUGGGAGGAAGUGCAGUAACCUAAUACGUUAUUGUUUUGACGUUACCGACAGAAUAAGCACCGGCUAACUUCGUGCCAGCAGCCGCCGUAA
This 500-nucleotide ribosomal RNA is filed under the name uncultured bacterium. Its description in RNAcentral is "partial 16S ribosomal RNA". It matches the Rfam family "Bacterial small subunit ribosomal RNA", at positions 30 to 523 of the family's 1533-position model. The record is from RNAcentral.